Molecule: long non-coding RNA, 1293 nt
Organism: Ailuropoda melanoleuca (giant panda)
Lineage: Eukaryota; Metazoa; Chordata; Mammalia; Carnivora; Ursidae
Exons: 3
Source: RefSeq, a predicted model, not a curated record
UUGGUGAGGAUUUGGCGCAUCGCUCCAGAUUCCAUACAUUGCUGGAGUAAAUGAAAACAUGUAUAGCUAGUUAGAAAACCAUUCGGCAGGACCUACUAACGCGGGUCACAUACUUCCCCCGCGAUCCAGUUCUACUCAUAUACUGCUCAUACCUAACAGAAACGAAUGCUUGCUUCCGUGACAGGAUGUGCACAGGAAUCUUCCCACAGUGGCAUUGCGGGUGACAGUCACACCGUCCGCACCCAAGCAGUUUGUUCACAAUACAGCGAAUAGUGCUCUCCCACAGGGAGUGAAGAAUCCUCAUUUGGAAAGACAGGCCUGCGGCGGAGAUGACCGGCAUACCACACCCUCCCUGCCUCUUUUGCUCCCCGACCCUGGGGCAGUCAGGGCUACAUGACCCUGUCCCCCUGAGUUGGCCACGGUCCAAAAACUGAAACCCAGGGAGGUACUGUCAAUCAAUACAAGUUGGCACAAAGAGAAAGACCUAUUUACCAUCUUUGGACUAGGGCAUUCUUCCAGAAACUGAUGUGACCCAAGGGACAAUUGCAAAUGGAAACCAAAGUGCAGAAGACAAGAAAACUGAGGCAUGGAGAGUUAUCUAAGGUCACACUGUGUGUGAGGUGCAAGUGGUCACAGACAGCUCCUUGGGGUCCUCACACACUCACACGGAGCGCGGAACGCAGUAGAAUGUGGUUCUCUACACCAGGACACGGAGACCCAGCUGGCCUUGGCCGAGGCCACUGGAGCAGCUGUUUGCGUGAACUGACACCCAGAGACCAGGCUGGCCCAGGAGCAUCCCAGUGGAUGACAGGGGCCAGGUGGUGACUGAGAACAGACCCCUCUUUCCCCCAUGCUUCGGUAUCCCCAAGCAAAAUCAACAAACAACGUAAAGGAGAAGAGCUAAAAAACAUGUCAGAAUGAAUGAAAUUUCACUAAGAUUAGGUUCUGCCACUCUAGUUAGAAAAACACAGUAGAUUAUAUUUCUUGCAACUAUUUCUACUUAAUUUUCCUUUCCCUGUUUGGUUCUGGGAGGGGAAAACACAGCCAGACUUGACAUCUGCCCAGGCCUUUACCUGGAAAGUGAGUCCCAAUGUCUCUGCUCUCAGAUGCCUGACCUGUGCUGCCCUGGGGCCUGGGUCAUGGGUGGGGGCAGACAGGGCACAGGUGCUCUUCUUGUGGUCCCCCCAGAUCUCACAACAGCAUGUGAGAUAAUUCAGUCCGGGCAGUGGUGGGAGUGGUAAGGAGUGGCCUGGGCUGGUCACAUUUUCUUCCGGAUCUGUUGUUUACAGAAUA